This 27-nucleotide small RNA is filed under the name Bombyx mori (domestic silkworm). RNAcentral describes it as "ovarian small RNA-36179". The record is from RNAcentral. Lineage: Eukaryota; Metazoa; Arthropoda; Insecta; Lepidoptera; Bombycidae.
UGUUGGUCGAAAAAGAUCGUCCGCAGA